Long non-coding RNA from Leptopilina heterotoma, 760 nucleotides. RefSeq lists it as uncharacterized. The transcript is spliced from 3 exons. The record is from RefSeq and is a predicted model, not a curated record. NCBI's taxonomy places the organism in Eukaryota, Metazoa, Arthropoda, Insecta, Hymenoptera, Figitidae.
AAAGAUAUUAAAAUUUUUUUCUGUGACGAAGAAAAACUCAAAUUUGAAAAUGUUUCCUCUACUGCAGUAUUUCAACAGGGUUGUCACAUGUCAGAGAAUUCUGGGAAAAGUCAGAUGUAGAGAAUAAAAAAGGUACUUCGAUCAAUAAGAAAUGAUUUAUUAAUUAUUUCAACUACUGAAAAAUCAAAAAAGGGUCGAAAUUUUCCCAUUAAUACUUGGAUUGGAUUUUUAAAAAUAAAUUUUGGCCUGCAUUUUCAAUUUUAAACAACAAAAUAAUUCACAAGAUGAAGGAGCAGAAGCAGUGGGAGCAAUGCAUCAUAUUGCGUCAACGAAGAUAAUCAGCUACUGGAGUAUGGCGAGGCGGCGCCAAAGGAGGAGCAAAACCACGUCGAAAACUGGUGCUUCCAGACUCUGGGGAAAAUUAAGCCACAUUCCUACUGUGACAACCUUGCCAAGGCAUGGUCCAUGCUUCGACCAUGGUACAUCCUUCAGCGAGUUAUGGCUCGCUAAAGAAAAUUGACUUGAAUCCACGCCAGGAUAAUAAAAGCGCUUCACUACACGCGAUAUGGUAAAGACACCGGCGAGAAGAAAUGAAAAGAAGACACAUUAUACACUUUUGUUACCCCCGAAAAAUUCUUAACAUUCACUAUAAGCGGUCAUAUCGAUGGGAAUUUUAACCUCUUUGUGUAAGUAAAUUUUGUUUAUUAAAAUUUACUUUAUUGUUAUAGUCGUUUAACUUUAAUUAAUCUUUAAUUUCAAG